Filobasidium floriforme is the source of this 98-nucleotide non-coding RNA. Lineage: Eukaryota; Fungi; Basidiomycota; Tremellomycetes; Filobasidiales; Filobasidiaceae. The record is from the annotation of a RefSeq genome assembly.
UUCUUCGUAGCACAGUGGUAGUUGCACCGAGCUGUUAAUAGGGCUAAGAACCUGUCAAGCGAACUCGGGGGUCGUAGGUUCGAGCCCUACCGAGGAAG